AUUGAACGCUGGCGGCAGGCCUAACACAUGCAAGUCGAGCGGAUGAAGGGAGCUUGCUCCUGGAUUCAGCGGCGGACGGGUGAGUAAUGCCUAGGAAUCUGCCUGGUAGCGGGGGAUAACGUCCGGAAACGGGCGCUAAUACCGCAUACGUCCUGAGGGAGAAAGUGGGGGAUCUUCGGACCUCACGCUAUCAGAUGAGCCUAGGUCGGAUUAGCUAGUUGGUGGGGUAAAGGCCUACCAAGGCGACGAUCCGUAACUGGUCUGAGAGGAUGAUCAGUCGCACUGGAUCUGAAACGGGGUCCGGACUCCUACGGGAGGCAGCAGUGGGAAAGAUGGGACAAUGGGCGAAAGCCUAAUCCGUCCAAGCGGCGUGUGUGAAGAAGGUCUUCGAAUUGUAAAGCACUUUAAGUUGGGAGAAAGGGAAGUAAGUUAAUACCUUCCUGUUUUAACGUUACCAACAGAAUAAGCACCGGCUAACUUCGUG
Molecule: ribosomal RNA, 484 nt
Filed under: uncultured bacterium
Lineage: Bacteria
Description: partial 16S ribosomal RNA
Rfam family: Bacterial small subunit ribosomal RNA
Source: RNAcentral